Long non-coding RNA from Sander lucioperca (pikeperch), 1430 nucleotides. RefSeq lists it as uncharacterized. Lineage: Eukaryota; Metazoa; Chordata; Actinopteri; Perciformes; Percidae. The transcript is spliced from 2 exons. The record is from RefSeq and is a predicted model, not a curated record.
CUAAUACUGUAUCUGUAGUCUCUUUUAUAUAGGAUAACUGACCAAUCAGAAUCAAGUAUUCAACAAAGCCGUGUUAUAAAAUAGAAUAAUCUCAUUUGGGUAAAAAAACAGAGGACAAAAUCAAAGUGUUGUUGUUUAUGGAGCAGUUCCAGACUUUAUACUUGAUGACAUCACAAGUUUGAGACUUCCUGUGGUUUUUGGCUUUGAGAGAGAGUAGCUCAUGUUCACACAUAUCGACUAACCUCUCCGAGGCCAUGGAAAUAACAUAUUGGAAUUCUUGAUUCAGGCAGUGUUCCCCUUUAAUUAACCGGACGCCGGCUCUGCUUUUGAAACUUUCCUGCUGCUUUAUGCCAUCUGAAGACACAGGGUUAACAGGAGCGUGUGAAAUGAUCGUGAUGAAGCCCAAUCCAAGAGCAAGUGUGGUCAGAUGCAUGUGAUGUAUUUUGUCCACAGAGGGGCGCCGUGACACCAAAUACCAAAAAUCCAAUCCAGCUUCAUUUCCUUUGGGUCUGUCCCAAUGGCCACUCUCUAUACUUGGGAGAAGUCAAGUCCCUUAUUUCAACUGCAGCUGAACUGGAAAAAAAAAAACUCACACUCAGAAACCAUGUUAUCUUUUCAAUGAUUUCUGGUUUAUUUUAAAUCACAAAAGAAAAACAUGUUUUUACAAUGUCAAAUGUGUGCUAUUAUUCCAAGUCUCAUCAAUAUGAAUAUAUGUUUGAUAUUUAAGCGAUAACCAUCUCUGAAAGUUCAGCACCAACCGCAUAUUGUUUGGACAGGAAACAUUUUUAAGCUGAAUCCAACAUGUCAAAAAAGUUCAACUUUUUUGUGUCUGUUGAUUUUCGGCAGCGAUUAAAACUAACUUGUGGGUGCAUUACUGCCAACAUCUGGACUGGGGUGGGACUGUGGUGAUUUGUGGGAGAGACGUACCUCUGAAUAUCCCUCUGAAGCUGUGAUGGGAUAAUAAUAAUAACUGUCCUACUAAUUGGUGGCGCAUGGCAAGCGCUUAAGUGUUCCAAUAGUUUGGGUAUUGGGAUGGACCAAUCUUAUAUUAUCUCAUAUAUUCUCAUCAUCCCAAGACGAUUCCAAUCGGACGAGUUUCAGGACCAAACCACACAAACAGAUGCAGAUACCCUGAACCUCAAAUGUCAAAAGUCAUAAUUAAGAGGGCAGCAACGUAUUUAAAUAUUACACAAAUCUUCAGCCUCUCGCCCAGACUUUGUACCUCUAUUAUCUCUGUGUAACCUAUUUAGUGUGCAGAACACAUGCACAUCUUUCUUGUCCAAGUGCAGAGUCCAAAAACUAAUUUGUGAUUUAUGCCAAGGACUUAUAAACGCCUGAAGUUGUACUUUUUUCUUGCGAGUCCUUAGAGGGUAAAAACAUCUCACUUAUUAAGAAAUAAAGCCAGACCAUAAAUGGUGCUAAAUGCCAAA